GCCUAAGACAUCCGAUAAAAUUGGAACGAUACAGAGAAGAUUAGCAUGGCCCCUGCGCAAGGAUGACACGCAUAAAUCGAGAAAUUUAAUCCUGUCCG
Molecule: small nuclear RNA, 98 nt
Organism: Zingiber officinale
Lineage: Eukaryota; Viridiplantae; Streptophyta; Magnoliopsida; Zingiberales; Zingiberaceae
Source: RefSeq, a predicted model, not a curated record